This 2153-nucleotide ribosomal RNA is filed under the name Salmonella enterica subsp. enterica serovar Oranienburg. RNAcentral describes it as "bacterial LSU rRNA". It matches the Rfam family "Bacterial large subunit ribosomal RNA", at positions 690 to 2823 of the family's 2925-position model. The record is from RNAcentral. Lineage: Bacteria; Pseudomonadati; Pseudomonadota; Gammaproteobacteria; Enterobacterales; Enterobacteriaceae.
GGGCGUUAAGUUGCAGGGUAUAGACCCGAAACCCGGUGAUCUAGCCAUGGGCAGGUUGAAGGUUGGGUAACACUAACUGGAGGACCGAACCGACUAAUGUUGAAAAAUUAGCGGAUGACCUGUGGCUGGGGGUGAAAGGCCAAUCAAACCGGGAGAUAGCUGGUUCUCCCCGAAAGCUAUUUAGGUAGCGCCUCGUGAAUUCAUCUCCGGGGGUAGAGCACUGUUUCGGCUAGGGGGCCAUCCCGGCUUACCAACCCGAUGCAAACUGCGAAUACCGGAGAAUGUUAUCACGGGAGACACACGGCGGGUGCUAACGUCCGUCGUGAAGAGGGAAACAACCCAGACCGCCAGCUAAGGUCCCAAAGUCAUGGUUAAGUGGGAAACGAUGUGGGAAGGCCCAGACAGCCAGGAUGUUGGCUUAGAAGCAGCCAUCAUUUAAAGAAAGCGUAAUAGCUCACUGGUCGAGUCGGCCUGCGCGGAAGAUGUAACGGGGCUAAACCAUGCACCGAAGCUGCGGCAGCGACGCUGAUGCGUUGUUGGGUAGGGGAGCGUUCUGUAAGCCUGCGAAGGUGGCCUGUGAGGGUUGCUGGAGGUAUCAGAAGUGCGAAUGCUGACAUAAGUAACGAUAAAGCGGGUGAAAAGCCCGCUCGCCGGAAGACCAAGGGUUCCUGUCCAACGUUAAUCGGGGCAGGGUGAGUCGACCCCUAAGGCGAGGCCGAAAGGCGUAGUCGAUGGGAAACGGGUUAAUAUUCCCGUACUUGGUGUUACUGCGAAGGGGGGACGGAGAAGGCUAUGUUGGCCGGGCGACGGUUGUCCCGGUUUAAGCGUGUAGGUGUGUGUUCCAGGUAAAUCCGGUUCACUUUAACACUGAGGCGUGACGACGAGGCACUACGGUGCUGAAGCAACAAAUGCCCUGCUUCCAGGAAAAGCCUCUAAGCAUCAGGUAACAUCAAAUCGUACCCCAAACCGACACAGGUGGUCAGGUAGAGAAUACCAAGGCGCUUGAGAGAACUCGGGUGAAGGAACUAGGCAAAAUGGUGCCGUAACUUCGGGAGAAGGCACGCUGACACGUAGGUGAAGUGAUUUACUCAUGGAGCUGAAGUCAGUCGAAGAUACCAGCUGGCUGCAACUGUUUAUUAAAAACACAGCACUGUGCAAACACGAAAGUGGACGUAUACGGUGUGACGCCUGCCCGGUGCCGGAAGGUUAAUUGAUGGGGUCAGCGCAAGCGAAGCUCCUGAUCGAAGCCCCGGUAAACGGCGGCCGUAACUAUAACGGUCCUAAGGUAGCGAAAUUCCUUGUCGGGUAAGUUCCGACCUGCACGAAUGGCGUAAUGAUGGCCAGGCUGUCUCCACCCGAGACUCAGUGAAAUUGAACUCGCUGUGAAGAUGCAGUGUACCCGCGGCAAGACGGAAAGACCCCGUGAACCUUUACUAUAGCUUGACACUGAACAUUGAGCCUUGAUGUGUAGGAUAGGUGGGAGGCUUUGAAGUGUGGACGCCAGUCUGCAUGGAGCCGACCUUGAAAUACCACCCUUUAAUGUUUGAUGUUCUAACGUGGACCCGUGAACCGGGUUGCGGACAGUGUCUGGUGGGUAGUUUGACUGGGGCGGUCUCCUCCUAAAGAGUAACGGAGGAGCACGAAGGUUGGCUAAUCCUGGUCGGACAUCAGGAGGUUAGUGCAAUGGCAUAAGCCAGCUUGACUGCGAGCGUGACGGCGCGAGCAGGUGCGAAAGCAGGUCAUAGUGAUCCGGUGGUUCUGAAUGGAAGGGCCAUCGCUCAACGGAUAAAAGGUACUCCGGGGAUAACAGGCUGAUACCGCCCAAGAGUUCAUAUCGACGGCGGUGUUUGGCACCUCGAUGUCGGCUCAUCACAUCCUGGGGCUGAAGUAGGUCCCAAGGGUAUGGCUGUUCGCCAUUUAAAGUGGUACGCGAGCUGGGUUUAGAACGUCGUGAGACAGUUCGGUCCCUAUCUGCCGUGGGCGCUGGAGAACUGAGGGGGGCUGCUCCUAGUACGAGAGGACCGGAGUGGACGCAUCACUGGUGUUCGGGUUGUCAUGCCAAUGGCACUGCCCGGUAGCUAAAUGCGGAAGAGAUAAGUGCUGAAAGCAUCUAAGCACGAAACUUGCCCCGAGAUGAGUUCUCCCUGAGACUU